CCUACGGGGGGCAGCAGUGGGGGAUAUUGCACAAUGGGGGAAACCCUGAUGCAGCGACGCCGCGUGGGUGAAGAAGUAUUUCGGUAUGUAAAGCCCUAUCAGCAGGGAAGAAAGAAGACGGUACCUGACUAAGAAGCCCCGGCUAACUACGUGCCAGCAGCCGCGGUAAUACGUAGGGGGCGAGCGUUAUCCGGAUUCACUGGGUGUAAAGGGAGCGUAGACGGCCGUGCAAGCCAGGAGUGAAAGCCCGGGGCCCAACCCCGGGACUGCUCUUGGAACUGUGCGGCUGGAGUGCGGGAGGGGCAGGCGGAAUUCCUAGUGUAGCGGUGAAAUGCGUAGAUAUCAGGAGGAACACCGGCGGCGAAGGCGGCCUGCUGGACCGCGACUGACGUUGAGGCUCGAAAGCGUGGGGAGCGAACAGGAUUAGAUACCCGAGUAGUC
This 441-nucleotide ribosomal RNA is filed under the name uncultured bacterium. Its description in RNAcentral is "partial 16S ribosomal RNA". It matches the Rfam family "Bacterial small subunit ribosomal RNA", at positions 338 to 795 of the family's 1533-position model. The record is from RNAcentral.